CCAGCAGCUGCGGUAAUUCCAGCUCCAAUAGCGUAUACUAAAGUUGCUGCAGUUGAAAAGCUCGUAGUUGAUAAAGAGAGAAAGGUUUGGGAUGAUUAUUUGAUUAUUUUUAAACCUUUCUUUUAAUUAAAAGAAAUGAAAAUUUUAUUUUUCAUUUCUUUUUUGGUACCUUGAAUAAAAAAGAGUGUUUAAAGCAAAUUUAUUUUGGAUUUUAUCCAAUUUAUUUCUUUGAAUUAUUAAGCAUGGAAUAUCUUUAAAAAAGAUUAGAAGGAAAUUUGGUUUUUUUUUCAUUUUUAAUCUGAAUGAUUAAUGGAAUCAGUUGGGGUCAUUAGUAUUUAAUUGUCAGAGGUGAAAUUCUUAGAUUAAUUACAGACUAACUUAUGCGAAAGCAUUUGACAAGGAUGUUUUCAUCAAUCAAG
Molecule: ribosomal RNA, 419 nt
Filed under: uncultured eukaryote
Lineage: Eukaryota
Description: partial small subunit ribosomal RNA
Rfam family: Eukaryotic small subunit ribosomal RNA
Source: RNAcentral